RNAcentral lists this ribosomal RNA (370 nucleotides) under uncultured organism. RNAcentral describes it as "partial 16S ribosomal RNA". It matches the Rfam family "Bacterial small subunit ribosomal RNA", at positions 527 to 896 of the family's 1533-position model. The record is from RNAcentral.
GUAGGUGGCAAGCGUUGUCCGGAAUUAUUGGGCGUAAGCGCGCGCAGGCGGUUCUUUAAGUCUGAUGUGAAAGCCCACGGCUCAACCGUGGAGGGUCAUUGGAAACUGGAGAACUUGAGUACAGAAGAGGAAAGCGGAAUUCCACGUGUAGCGGUGAAAUGCGUAGAGAUGUGGAGGAACACCAGUGGCGAAGGCGGCUUUCUGGUCUGUAACUGACGCUGAGGCGCGAAAGCGUGGGGAGCAAACAGGAUUAGAUACCCUGGUAGUCCACGCCGUAAACGAUGAGUGCUAAGUGUUAGGGGGUUUCCGCCCCCCUUAGUGCUGCAGCUAACGCAUUAAGCAUCCGCCUGGGAGUACGGCCGCAAGGCUG